Onychomys torridus (southern grasshopper mouse) is the source of this 2041-nucleotide long non-coding RNA. RefSeq lists it as uncharacterized. The transcript is spliced from 3 exons. The record is from RefSeq and is a predicted model, not a curated record. Lineage: Eukaryota; Metazoa; Chordata; Mammalia; Rodentia; Cricetidae.
UUCCGGUCCUGGUGAAGCUUUGCCAGGAUAUCUGUGAGCAACCCGGCACACCUUGCAGGUGUACAGCUAAUGCUCCCUACCUCGGGAGCCAGGAAAUGAUACACGUGAGGAAGAAAGAUGAUGAAAUCAUAAAGGAACAUUUACCUAAGCUGACAUUUUACUAUGGUAAAACAGAUGACUGGUGUCCAGUAAAGUACUAUGAAGACAUGAAGAAAGAUUUUCCAGAAGGCGAUAUCCGACUCUGUGAGAAAGGAAUCACCCAUGCUUUUGUCCUCGGGUUCAGCCAGGAGGUGGCUGCCAUAGUUGCUGACUGGAUGAAUCAUAAACUGCCCAAAAUAUAAAAACUGGCCCUGGGAAAACGCACCUACAGCUGAUUCGUGGGAGCUGUAGGUGUGUUCUGAUUACUGGUGAAUGUCUAUUCUUAACGCUUGAAAAGGAACAUGAGACCCUGCUGGCUUACAGUCUUACCCGCUCCCUGUGCUAAAAGUGAACACAGUUGAUGACUCAUUCCACAUGUUCCCUGACUCAGGAAACACAGAGAUCUCCACAAAGAUUCCUCUUUUUACAAGAAGCCCAACAGCACGGUACAGUGCAGUUUGCCCAACAGGAUCCUGACAAGCCCAAGACAAUCUAAAUAUAGGUGAUUCCAAGUGAAUCGUUAGAGUCGAUUGUCCUGGAUGAAAUUAUGAAACUCUUACUAGAGAAUGAAAACCCACCCAUGAGUGUGAAGUGUGCAGUCAGGUGUGUAAAAUGUGUAAGACUGAGAAGAGCACCCCUGCUCUUCCUGCUGCAGGGAGGAAUGAGCAGGGACGCUGGCAGUAAGCUUGGUUUCCCUUCAGGGAUGGAGGAAAGCACGUCAGACGUUGUACGGGUCUUGGCUGAGGUCACCAGCAUGUCUUCUUCCUGCUGCAGUAAACCGAGAAUCAGGGUUGCCUGACAUUUGUCAACUAACCAGACAGAGUUGCUGAAGGAUCCUGACUCUGACCUGCCACAGGAUGGCCAGAUGGCAGCAGGCUCCAAUGAGCCCUAAAAUGCCACGUCCCUGCAGGCUGCUCUAGAGAAGAAGGGAGGGAUGGACUGUCCACAUCUGGUGUGUAUGGCCGUGGAGUGGCUCAUCGCUGUGGUUCCUCCAGUGAAGCUCCAUGCACAGGAAGCUGUGAACUGGUGCCUUUCAUGAUGCCGUUCGCUACCCUACAAUUCUUCCCUUCUGAAAAUCUAGAACAUACUUUUUGGGAAGAUGUUUUAAAUUGUUGAGUAAAACAUUAGCAUAAAUUUAUUUCCCAUUUGCCUAAAUUUUAUUCUGGAAAGAUACUAUUUUGCAAAUGAACAGAAGUAAUCCAUUAAAUUUUGUAUUACUGCACCUCUGAAAGUGUAUUCGUGACUGAGAAGUGGAAGGCCAGCUAGGCUGCCUUUCCUUAAUUGACUCUAUCCUAAUGUCCCAGAGUCCAGUAAACCCCACUGUCUGUAGCGACAGCUGAUGCCCAAUGGAAACAUUCCAUUUUCUUCUAGAGAAAAGCUCCCAUAGCUGUAUCAUUCCUCAGGGGCAGUGAGAUGGUCCUUCCUCUCACAAACCUAAGAUGCUGAUGGAAGAUUUGGUUGUGAUGUGCCUCCAGCUCCCUGGUGAGUGAAGAAAGUUCUCAGCCUCUGCAUGGCUUCUGCAUCAGAGCUCUAACUUCUCAGAGGGGAAAAGCCAAACUCCAGACAAGGAGAGCUCUUAGACCAUGGAGAAGACCAUUAGCUACACAGUAAGGGUUGGUGCUACACACAAGUCCUCACUGGCAUCUGCACACCGAGGCCUUCUGGAGAGCUGACUGGGAAGCCAGGAUUCUUGCUCUGAGUACCUUGCUUAUAGGACAGGUCCCAUCAAUGGUGGAAAAUCAAUGCAUAGAAACAAGUGCUGGUAAAUCAGACCUACUGGAACAAAAUAGCUUUCAUUGAUUGCUUCCAGAAAUUACUCUGUGUUUUCCAAACUCUACUUAAAAGACCCUGGUGCCUCAUUCCCUUUCCCCAUCUAAUCACCUAAUGAUAUUUAUAAUAAAUG